GGACAGAACUCUGGAGAGACCCUUGUCAUAGGGCGCCGAAGGUGCACGGCAGAUGAAUAUAUCUGCUUAAACUCUCAGGCAAAAGGACAGAGAUGGGAAU
Molecule: non-coding RNA, 100 nt
Filed under: Paenibacillus sp.
Lineage: Bacteria; Bacillati; Bacillota; Bacilli; Caryophanales; Paenibacillaceae
Also listed under: 1 other name
Description: Glycine sequence
Rfam family: Glycine riboswitch aptamer
About the family: This family represents the bacterial glycine riboswitch. Glycine riboswitches usually consist of two metabolite-binding aptamers domains with similar structures in tandem.
Source: RNAcentral